Molecule: ribosomal RNA, 464 nt
Filed under: uncultured bacterium
Lineage: Bacteria
Description: bacterial SSU rRNA
Rfam family: Bacterial small subunit ribosomal RNA
Source: RNAcentral
UCCAGACUCCUACGGGAGGCAGCAGUGGGGAAUAUUGCACAAUGGGGGGAACCCUGAUGCAGCGACGCCGCGUGGGUGAAGGAGCACCUCGGUGCGUAAAGCCCUAUCGGCAGGGAAGAAAAGCGAACAGGUUCGCCUGGACGGUACCUGACUAAGAAGCCCCGGCUAACUACGUGCCAGCAGCCGCGGUAAAACGUAGGGUGCAAGCGUUGUCCGGAAUUACUGGGUGUAAAGGGAGCGCAGGCGGAUUGACAAGUUGGGAGUGAAAACUACGGGCUCAACCCGUAACCUGCUUUCAAAACUGUCAGUCUUGAGUGGUGUAGAGGUAGGCGGAAUUCCCGGUGUAGCGGUGGAAUGCGUAGAUAUCGGGAGGAACACCAGUGGCGAAGGCGGCCUACUGGGCACUAACUGACGCUGAGGCUCGAAAGCAUGGGUAGCAAACAGGAUUAGAUACCCUCGUACCC